UACGUAGGGUGCGAGCGUUGCCCGGAAUUAUUGGGCGUAAAGGGCUCGUAGGCGGUCUGUUGCGUCGGGCGUGAAAACUCAGGGCUUAACCCUGAGCCUGCUUCCGAUACGGGCAGACUAGAGGUAUGCAGGGGAGAACGGAAUUCCUGGUGUAGCGGUGAAAUGCGCAGAUAUCAGGAGGAACACCGGUGGCGAAGGCGGUUCUCUGGGCAUUACCUGACGCUGAGGAGCGAAAGUGUGGGGAGCGAACAGG
Molecule: ribosomal RNA, 253 nt
Filed under: uncultured bacterium
Lineage: Bacteria
Description: partial 16S ribosomal RNA
Rfam family: Bacterial small subunit ribosomal RNA
Source: RNAcentral